UACGGGGGUGGCAAGCGUUGUCCGGAAUUACUAGGCGUAAAGGGCAGGUAGGCGGUCAUAUAAGUUAAUCGUUAAAGACCCGUGCUCACCAUGGGGAGGGCGGUUGAUACUGUAUGACUGGAAGCGAGUGGGGGAAGACGGAAUUCCUGGUGUAGCGGUGGAAUGCGCAGAUAUCAGGAGGAACACCAAAGGCGAAGGCAGUCUUCUACGCUUGUCUUGACGCUAAACUGCGAAGGUGCGGGUAUCAAACAGG
Molecule: ribosomal RNA, 253 nt
Filed under: uncultured bacterium
Lineage: Bacteria
Description: partial 16S ribosomal RNA
Rfam family: Bacterial small subunit ribosomal RNA
Source: RNAcentral